This 220-nucleotide ribosomal RNA is filed under the name Talaromyces primulinus. RNAcentral's name for it is "partial 28S ribosomal RNA". It matches the Rfam family "Eukaryotic large subunit ribosomal RNA", at positions 1 to 216 of the family's 3401-position model. Lineage: Eukaryota; Fungi; Ascomycota; Eurotiomycetes; Eurotiales; Trichocomaceae. The record is from RNAcentral.
GGUUGACCUCGGAUCAGGUAGGAGUUACCCGCUGAACUUAAGCAUAUCAAUAAGCGGAGGAAAAGAAACCAACCGGGAUUGCCUCAGUAACGGCGAGUGAAGCGGCAAGAGCUCAAAUUUGAAAUCUGGCCCCCUCGGGGUCCGAGUUGUAAUUUGCAGAGGAUGCUUCGGGUGCGGUCCCCAUCUAAGUGCCCUGGAACGGGCCGUCAUAGAGGGUGAG